AGCGGUGAUAAAUAAGCCCUCAGAGGUGCCGAAUCUGUCCUCAGAGCUCCCGAAUCCACCCUCGGAGGUCCCAAAUCUAUCCUUAGAGCUCCCUGAUCCACCCUCGGAGGUCCCUGAUCCACCCUCGGAGGUCCCAAAUCUGCCCUCAGAAGUGCCAAAUCAACCCUCAGAACGCCGAACUCAGCCCUCAGAACUCUGAACUCAGUCCUCAGAGCUCAGCCUUCAAAAGUUUGAAAUCAGCCCUCAGAACUCCUCACUCAACCCUCAGAACUCCGAACCAGAGGUCAUCCCUCAGUCCUCCGAACUCAGAACUCCGCUCUCAGAGCUCAGGCCUUAGAACUGAGAACUCAGCCCUCAGAAUUUAGUCCUUAGAGCUCAGCCCUUGGUCCCUUGAAAUUCAAUUUCGGUGCCAAGGGGUUUGGUCAGGGAAUAGUGUGCUUUUCACAAUACCAACUUCUUAAUGAAGCUGAUGGACAAUAAUAAGUGGGCAAAACUGAGACUGGGAAAAUAAACUUAUUGAGUUGAAUAUAAUCAAAGCAAAACCAAAAAAAGUCUUGUGUCUUCAGGAUCACAUUUUAUAGGAAAAAAUACUCAAUGUGCAACAGGUAUCAGCAAUUCAUUGUCCUAGCAACACUGCUCAAAUAAGAACUGGAAAGGAACAAGGGGGUGGUUUUAAAGACUGUGCUAUUGCUAGCUGUUGGGGAGCUUUUUGUCCUUUAUAAUUUCUAUAAUUGUAAAGUUCCCUGUAGAGAAGAAAACACAAUAGCAAAAGUAUAUUUGAAAUGCUAAUAAAAUUAUAUUACUUGUG
This is a non-coding RNA of Taeniopygia guttata (zebra finch), 808 nucleotides long. NCBI's taxonomy places the organism in Eukaryota, Metazoa, Chordata, Aves, Passeriformes, Estrildidae. The record is from RefSeq and is a predicted model, not a curated record.